AACAAGGUUUCCGUAGGUGAACCUGCGGAAGGAUCAUUACCGAGUUUUCGAGCUUCGGCUCGACUCUCCCACCCUUUGUGAACAUACCUCUGUUGCUUUGGCGGCUCCGGCCGCCAAAGGACCUUCAAACUCCAGUCAGUAAACGCAGACGUCUGAAAUACAAGUUAAUAAACUAAAACUUUCAACAACGGAUCUCUUGGUUCUGGCAUCGAUGAAGAACGCAGCGAAAUGCGAUAAGUAAUGUGAAUUGCAGAAUUCAGUGAAUCAUCGAAUCUUUGAACGCACAUUGCGCCCCUUGGUAUUCCGGGGGGCAUGCCUGUUCGAGCGUCAUUACAACCCUCAAGCUCUGCUUGGUAUUGGGCUCCGUCCUCCCUGGGGACGCGCCUCAAAGACCUCGGCGGUGGCUGUUCAGCCCUCAAGCGUAGUAGAAUACACCUCGCUUUGGAGCGGUUGGCGUCGCCCGCCGGACGAACCUUCUGAACUUUUCUCAAGGUUGACCUCGGAUCAGGUAGGGAUACCCGCUGAACUUAAGCAUAUCAAUAAGCGGAGGA
This 551-nucleotide ribosomal RNA is filed under the name Lasiodiplodia gonubiensis. RNAcentral's name for it is "eukaryotic LSU rRNA". The stretch from base 177 to 330 matches the Rfam family "5.8S ribosomal RNA". Lineage: Eukaryota; Fungi; Ascomycota; Dothideomycetes; Botryosphaeriales; Botryosphaeriaceae. The record is from RNAcentral.